GGGAUCAAGGUGCUAGCGGCAGCAUCGGGGACUCUUAAUCCCACGGGUGGAGGUUCAAGUCCUCCUGGUCCCA
RNAcentral lists this transfer RNA (73 nucleotides) under Pandoraea sp. RNAcentral describes it as "tRNA-Lys". It matches the Rfam family "tRNA". Rfam says of the family: Transfer RNA (tRNA) molecules are approximately 80 nucleotides in length. Their secondary structure includes four short double-helical elements and three loops (D, anti-codon, and T loops). Lineage: Bacteria; Pseudomonadati; Pseudomonadota; Betaproteobacteria; Burkholderiales; Burkholderiaceae. The record is from RNAcentral.